This is a long non-coding RNA of Canis lupus familiaris (dog), 1004 nucleotides long. RefSeq lists it as uncharacterized. NCBI's taxonomy places the organism in Eukaryota, Metazoa, Chordata, Mammalia, Carnivora, Canidae. The record is from RefSeq and is a predicted model, not a curated record. The transcript has 3 exons.
AAUAUUCUGGCUUAGGGACUCUUCCAGAUAUCUAUUGCUGCAUAACUGAUCACGGCAAAACCCAGUGGCUAAAAGCAACCACAGGGUCUUCUGAGAUCUUUAUCUGAAGAAGAAGAACAAAAUGUUCACAUUCAGUUAGUUUCACCUUAUCUCAUGAAUCUUCUCUUUGGGCAGAGCUCCGCAGGGAAGAUUAAUUUCUGUCAUUUGUGCCAUCAGUUGGGGCAGCUUGCCUGGGCCUGAAGAAGCCACAUCCAAAAUGUCUCCCUUAUAUGGUUGAUGCAUAAGACACAGGAUACCAUGUUAUUAUUUCUCAUUUGGAGUUUGUCCUAUAUGUGCAAAAUGGUGGAGGAACUUCACAUCUCAACUAUUUACCCAAGAAAUACCCCAGAUUUUAUUUUAUCUGUCGACCCAUCUUCAGCUAGUGCUUUAAUUGACUCCUACCGGUUUUGGGUUACCUGAAAUCCUCUGACUAGCAGCAAUCUGGACUGCUUGGUCAGUGCACUGAAUAAAUUUAGGUGGUAUUACCCACCACAUCUUCAUCUAAUGAGAAGAUGACACCUCUUCAUUCUCACCUAACAAAAGAAUAGCAGUUUAAGUUACUAUGAAGUGAAUCUGGAUGUAACACCUGAAGUGACUUCCAGAGGUAACUCUGGCCUUGAGACUCUGUAACUUUUUUUUUUUUCAGAUUUAUUAGCUUAUUUGAGAGAGAGAGAGAUAGAGACAGAGAUUGAGAAUGAGAAAGCAAGGGGAAGGGCAGAGACAGAGGGAGAGGGAGAACCUCCAGCAGACCCCCCACCUGAGCAUGGAGACCACCUGGGACUCAACAUUAUGACCCUGAGAUCCUGGCCUGAGCUGAAAACAAGAGCCGGACACUUAAUGGACUGAGCCACCCAGGCGCUUUGAGACUCUGCAACUUUUGAGUAACUUGCUCAGCAACAGAGGUCGUGGCAGGGCUGCUAAUGGCCCAUAUAAUUUUGUUGCAUAUACAAAUUAUAGUUGUUUAU